CUGGGUAUGUUUUCUAACGGCAUCAAUGACAUUUUGGGGAUCCUUAUGGAAGAUUAUAUCUGUACAAAUCUUAACAACAAGGUGUCAGGCUGGUGGAGAGAUGACCAGGUUGUUGCAUUGACACGGCUGGAGUCAUGGUGAGGCUAGUGGAGUGAUGCAGCUGGUGGAGCAAUGGAGAGGCUGGUGGAGCUUGCCAUUCCUGUAAGCGGCGGAGUGAUGACGGAGCUGGUUAGUGGGGAUAUUGACGAUGAAGCAGAUAUGUUGACCCUGGUCCUGGGGAUCCACAUACCUAUAGAAGCUGAAGUCAAGCACAUCCAUGGCAUUUUGGAUAUGCAUGAGGGAGUCACUGGUCCUGGUACGGAACAGCUCCUCGAUUUGCCGGACUAGGUCAAAGGCCUCUUGCGACGGCCGACAAAGCGCACCAGGCUUGAAUUCCUUCAGCUUCAGUAAAGUACUGUGCUCUCCUUCAGAGAGCGCAGGUCUCUGUUUUAGUGAGGUCAGGUGCAGGACUGCGCUCCAUCAGCUCCUCCACACGCAGGGCAGGACUGGAAAUUGACUUCAGUGCUUGGUGAAACUCCACGGCAGUUGGGACUGGAUUCCUCUGUCGGAUGCAGCCAAAUAGGUUUUCCAGACAGUCUUGGGUAAACCUGCUGGUCAACACAAACAAGUGUCCCUGUGACAGCAUGUCUUCUUGGAUGGACAGUAUUGUAGAUGUUGCCAUCACAAUCCCUGUUUGUACAGGCUUCCAGCUACUCGGUUGUCCAAUCUUCAGCCCACGGAACAGUUGGAUCGUGUCCUGGAGGAACUUGAUGGCCUUUUGGUACUCCUCCAUCUUGUGCCUGCUCAGUGCCAUUACUGGGUGGCGAGAGGACAUGAGAUCAAACCAGUGGUCUACCUGCUCCAGGAGCCAUGCUGUUGUCCGGUAAGAGUGGACCGACUGAAGCUUCAUUGGAGGGGAGGUUCUCCCUCUCUACCAUAUCUGGUGGGAUUGGGAACGUCUGUCCGCGGACCAGGGCACUCUUCAAGUUCUUCACCAGGUCUGGGACAUCUGGCAUGAAGUAUAGCCUCCUGUCUGGUCUUGUUGGAUGUGGGACAGACGUGGUCCACUCCAAAGGCCUUCCACAUUGCCCGAUUAGGGCUGCCCAUGUCAGUGGUGACCUUAAUCACAUGUAGCCCGAUGGAAUCUGCUCUGUGAAUAAUGUCCAAGACAAUAGGUAACGUCACAUCCCCAUACAGCUUCCUUGUUCCCAGGUGCAGCUCCACGCUUGGUGUGAUUGACAUCUCAUCGAGGUUCUGAUGUCGGGGAGAGGAAUCAACAUGUCCUGUAGAAGUUUGUAGCCUGUUGAGCCAGUAGCAAAACGGACUUGAAUAGCCUUUUUAAGGAUCAGGGGACUCAGUUGGCUGAGUGGUUAGGAAAUCGGACUAGUAACCUGAAGGUUGCCAGUUCGAUUCCCGGCCGUGUCAAAUGACGUUGUGUCCUUGGGCAAGGCACUUCACCCUACUUGCUUCGGGGGGAAUGUCCCUGUACUUACUGUAAGUCGCUCUGGAUAAGAGCGUCUGCUAAAUGACUAAAUGUAAGGAUGUCAUUUCCCCAUCGUAUGCUUCUCUUUAGACCGCUCGAUUUUAUCUGAUCUUUUGAUAACAUUGUUCCAAAUUUAUUUUCCAUUAUUAUUAUUUUUUUCCGUAGGACCACAUUCAUUCUUUUUUGACAAUUUAGGGCUGCCUGUAACCUUGUAAAAUUUGUUUUGUUAACUCCUCCCUCAGGUCUUUAUCACUGUACCCUGGCUCACUUGGACACUGGGCACAGGAUCCUGUCUCACUGGGGCACUGGAACCUGGCUCACUUGGACACUGGACUGGCUCAUUGGCUGCUGGACCCUUCCUCUUCUUGGGCUCAGGACGAUGCAGAAAUAUGCUGGGAACAGCAUCAGCCUUCAAUUUCAGUUGGCCUUUUUUUGUUUUUGUGAAUUGGUCUCCCUCAAAAUGUGUCUGCGAUGAUAUUGGCACAAUGGCUUGAGUUUAAUUUCCACAUGCAUUCCAGACUCACCCCAUAAUUGUCAAUCCCAAUUUCAUUAUAGUCAUGUACAUAUUACAGUAAACAUAUUGGUCCUUGAUCCACAAGUGAAAUGUAUAAAGACAACUUAAACUCACACCACACAGUUUUCUAUUAUUGAAUUUUCUUGCGAUGGUCAGGUGCCUUCUGCCAACUUGCGCCAUCCAUUUUUUUCUCCUGUUUGUAUCUUUUGGAAAACCAUACAUCCGGAUCCCUUUCUCAGACCGAUUGGAGCAUCCAAAUGCUGCACAGCCAACCAUAAUCUCCUUGUCUUAUAGAAUCAUAUGAAGUGCAGGAGCUCAUUAAUUUGACAUUUUAUACUGUAUUUCAACCACUAUAAUGAUUGUGUGUGUGUUUGUGUGUGCCUAGUCUGAGGUUUGUGAACAGCAAACAUUUAGAUCACCGGAUCACUACAAACAAAAGGAGUGGAAGAACACUGGACAUAUUGUACAAUAAAAUGUUUUAUUGAAUGCAA
Molecule: long non-coding RNA, 2527 nt
Organism: Osmerus eperlanus (European smelt)
Lineage: Eukaryota; Metazoa; Chordata; Actinopteri; Osmeriformes; Osmeridae
Exons: 11
Source: RefSeq, a predicted model, not a curated record